RNAcentral lists this transfer RNA (72 nucleotides) under Phycisphaerae bacterium. Its description in RNAcentral is "tRNA-Ala". It matches the Rfam family "tRNA". From Rfam's summary of the family: Transfer RNA (tRNA) molecules are approximately 80 nucleotides in length. Their secondary structure includes four short double-helical elements and three loops (D, anti-codon, and T loops). Lineage: Bacteria; Pseudomonadati; Planctomycetota; Phycisphaerae. The record is from RNAcentral.
GGGGUGGUAGCUCCAACGGAGAGCGUCUGCCUUGCACGCAGAAGGUUAUGGGUUCAAAUCCCAUCCACUCCA